CUUAUUUAUUUUUAUAUUAUUUUUUUAAUUUUUUGUAUUAUUUAAUUUAUUUAUAGUAUUUUUUGAAGUAAUAAUUAUAUUUUUAAUCUGUUAGGAUUUAUUUAUAUAUUUUUAGGUCAUUUUUUAGUACCUUUUGUAUCAGGGUUUAUUAAAUAGGUUAAUUAGAAUUUAUACUCCCGAAUUGAAAAGUUCAGUUUUUUUAUACAUUUAUUUUUAUAAUAAAAUUUUAUAAUAAAAUAAAAGUAAUUAGAUGUUAUUCGUUUUUUAUAUAUCUGGUUAUUAGGGAUUUAAUUAAAUUAAAUAUUUUUGUUAUUUUAAUACUAAUUAUCUAUAAAAUAUUAUUUUAUUAGGGAUAAUCUUAAUAAAGUCUAUUACAAUAAAAAAUUACUGGAUUAUAUUUUCUUUUAAAUUUUGGAUUUAGUUUUUAAUAAAUUUUUUCCUUUUAAUAAUUUUUUGUUUUAUUUAUUGUAUUACUUAAUUUUUUAAUAAAAUUAUUUUUUUUUUUAAUAAUGAUUAAAUUAGUAUAAUAUUUAAAUAUUUUAUUAUGAAUUCAACAAAUUUUUAUUUCCAACUGUUUAUCAAAAACAUUUCUUUUUGUUUUUUUAAAAAGUAUCUUCUGCCCUAUGGAUUAUUUCUAAAUGGCUGCAGUAUUUUGACUGUGCAAAGGUAGCAUAGUAAAUAGCUUCUUAAUUAGGAGCUUGAAUGAAUGGAUGUAUGAGAAAUAGGUUUUAUUUGGUUUAAUAUUAAAAUUUAAAUUUUAAGUUAAAAUGCUUAAUGGUUUUCUUGGGACGAUAAGACCCUAUAGAACUUUAUAUGUUAAAUUUAAAUUAAUUUUUUUAAUUUAUAUUUUAGUUAGUUUUUUCAUUUUUAGCUGGGGCGGUUAAUAAAUUUUAACUUUAUUUUUUAAAAUCAUUUAUUUUUGUAAAUAAUGAUCCUUAACUAAGAGAUUAGAAGUCUAAGUUACCUUAGGGAUAACAGCGUAAUUAUAAUGGGGAGUUCAUAUCUAUAUUAAUUUUUGCGACCUCGAUGUUGAAUUAAGAAAAAACUAAGAUGCAGUAUUCUUAGAUUUUAGUCUGUUCGACUAUUAAAUUCUUACAUGAUUUGAGUUCAAACCGGUGUGAACCAGGUUGGUUUCUAUCUGAGAAUAUUCCAAUAUAUUUAUUUAGUACGAAAGGACCAAUAAAUAGUAUUUUAUAUUAAACU
This 1203-nucleotide ribosomal RNA is filed under the name Abrus yunshanensis. Its description in RNAcentral is "16S ribosomal RNA". Lineage: Eukaryota; Metazoa; Arthropoda; Insecta; Hemiptera; Cicadellidae. The record is from RNAcentral.